UCUCUGGUGGUUCAGUGGUUAGGACUCUGCGCUUUCACUGCUGUGGGCCUGGGUUCAAUCCCUGGUCGUGGAA
This 73-nucleotide transfer RNA is filed under the name Bos taurus (domestic cattle). It matches the Rfam family "tRNA". Rfam says of the family: Transfer RNA (tRNA) molecules are approximately 80 nucleotides in length. Their secondary structure includes four short double-helical elements and three loops (D, anti-codon, and T loops). Further hydrogen bonds mediate the characteristic L-shaped molecular structure. tRNAs have two regions of fundamental functional importance: the anti-codon, which is responsible for specific mRNA codon recognition, and the 3' end, to which the tRNAs corresponding amino acid is attached (by aminoacyl-tRNA synthetases). tRNAs cope with the degeneracy of the genetic code in two manners: having more than one tRNA (with a specific anti-codon) for a particular amino acid; and 'wobble' base-pairing, i.e. permitting non-standard base-pairing at the 3rd anti-codon position. The record is from Rfam by way of RNAcentral. RNAcentral also lists the same sequence under 5 other names. Lineage: Eukaryota; Metazoa; Chordata; Mammalia; Artiodactyla; Bovidae.